GAUGAACGCUAGCGGCAGGCUUAAUACAUGCAAGUCGAGGGGCAGCGCAGUGUAGCAAUACACGGGCGGCGACCGGCAAACGGGUGCGGAACACGUACGCAACCUCCCCAUCACUGAUGAAUAGCCCUCCGAAAGGAGCAUUAAUACAUCAUAACUUCAUGAAGCGGCGUCGCUUUAUUAAUAUAGCUCCGGCGGUUUUGGAUGGGCGUGCGCCUGAGUAGGUAGUUGGGGUGGUGACGGCCCACCAAGCCUGCGAUUAGUAACGGGUGAGAGAUCACGACCAGGCACACGGGCACUGAGACACGGGGCCUACGCCUACGCGAGGCAGCAGUAAGGAAGAUUGGUCAAGGGACGCAAGUCUGAACCAGCCAUGCCGCGUGAAGGAUGAAGGUCCUCUGGGUUGUAAACUUCUUUUGAAUGGGACGAAACCUCUUUUUCUUGAGAGACUGACGGUACCAUUAGAAUAAGCACCGGCUAACUCCGUG
This 485-nucleotide ribosomal RNA is filed under the name uncultured bacterium. RNAcentral's name for it is "partial 16S ribosomal RNA". It matches the Rfam family "Bacterial small subunit ribosomal RNA", at positions 28 to 507 of the family's 1533-position model. The record is from RNAcentral.